UACGAAGGGGGCUAGCGUUGCUCGGAAUCACUGGGCGUAAAGGGUGCGUAGGCGGGUUCUUAAGUCAGAGGUGAAAUCCUGGAGCUCAACUCCAGAACUGCCUUUGAUACUGAGAGUCUUGAGUACGGGAGAGGUGAGUGGAACUGCGAGUGUAGAGGUGAAAUUCGUAGAUAUUCGCAAGAACACCCGUGGCGAAGGCGGCUCUCUGGAACGCAACUGACGCUGAGACGCGAAAGCGUGGGGAGCAAACAGG
This 253-nucleotide ribosomal RNA is filed under the name uncultured bacterium. Its description in RNAcentral is "partial 16S ribosomal RNA". It matches the Rfam family "Bacterial small subunit ribosomal RNA", at positions 524 to 776 of the family's 1533-position model. The record is from RNAcentral.